AGAGUUUGAUCAUGGCUCAGAUUGAACGCUGGCGGCAGGCCUAACACAUGCAAGUCGAACGGUAACAGGAAGAAGCUUGCUUCUUCGCUGACGAGUGGCGGACGGGUGAGUAAUGUCUGGGAAACUGCCUGAUGGAGGGGGAUAACUACUGGAAACGGUAGCUAAUACCGCAUAACGUCGCAAGACCAAAGAGGGGGACCUUCGGGCCUCUUGCCAUCGGAUGUGCCCAGAUGGGAUUAGCUAGUAGGUGGGGUAACGGCUCACCUAGGCGACGAUCCCUAGCUGGUCUGAGAGGAUGACCAGCCACACUGGAACUGAGACACGGUCCAGACUCCUACGGGAGGCAGCAGUGGGGAAUAUUGCACAAUGGGCGCAAGCCUGAUGCAGCCAUGCCGCGUGUAUGAAGAAGGCCUUCGGGUUGUAAAGUACUUUCAGCGGGGAGGAAGGGAGUAAAGUUAAUACCUUUGCUCAUUGACGUUACCCGCAGAAGAAGCACCGGCUAACUCCGUGCCAGCAGCCGCGGUAAUACGGAGGGUGCAAGCGUUAAUCGGAAUUACUGGGCGUAAAGCGCACGCAGGCGGUUUGUUAAGUCAGAUGUGAAAUCCCCGGGCUCAACCUGGGAACUGCAUCUGAUACUGGCAAGCUUGAGUCUCGUAGAGGGGGGUAGAAUUCCAGGUGUAGCGGUGAAAUGCGUAGAGAUCUGGAGGAAUACCGGUGGCGAAGGCGGCCCCCUGGACGAAGACUGACGCUCAGGUGCGAAAGCGUGGGGAGCAAACAGGAUUAGGUACCCUGGUAGUCCACGCCGUAAACGAUGUCGACUUGGAGGUUGUGCCCUUGAGGCGUGGCUUCCGGAGCUAACGCGUUAAGUCGACCGCCUGGGGAGUACGGCCGCAAGGUUAAAACUCAAAUGAAUUGACGGGGGCCCGCACAAGCGGUGGAGCAUGUGGUUUAAUUCGAUGCAACGCGAAGAACCUUACCUGGUCUUGACAUCCACGGAAGUUUUCAGAGAUGAGAAUGUGCCUUCGGGAACCGUGAGACAGGUGCUGCAUGGCUGUCGUCAGCUCGUGUUGUGAAAUGUUGGGUUAAGUCCCGCAACGAGCGCAACCCUUAUCCUUUGUUGCCAGCGGUCCGGCCGGGAACUCAAAGGAGACUGCCAGUGAUAAACUGGAGGAAGGUGGGGAUGACGUCAAGUCAUCAUGGCCCUUACGACCAGGGCUACACACGUGCUACAAUGGCGCAUACAAAGAGAAGCGACCUCGCGAGAGCAAGCGGACCUCAUAAAGUGCGUCGUAGUCCGGAUUGGAGUCUGCAACUCGACUCCAUGAAGUCGGAAUCGCUAGUAAUCGUGGAUCAGAAUGCCACGGUGAAUACGUUCCCGGGCCUUGUACACACCGCCCGUCACACCAUGGGAGUGGGUUGCAAAAGAAGUAGGUAGCUUAACCUUCGGGAGGGCGCUUACCACUUUGUGAUUCAUGACUGGGGUGAAGUCGAAACAAGGUAACCGUAGGGGAACCUGCGGUUG
Molecule: ribosomal RNA, 1522 nt
Filed under: metagenome
Description: bacterial SSU rRNA
Rfam family: Bacterial small subunit ribosomal RNA
Source: RNAcentral